This 60-nucleotide transfer RNA is filed under the name Eutrema salsugineum. RNAcentral's name for it is "partial tRNA-Leu". Lineage: Eukaryota; Viridiplantae; Streptophyta; Magnoliopsida; Brassicales; Brassicaceae. RNAcentral also lists the same sequence under 28 other names. The record is from RNAcentral.
UAGUAAGAUGAAAAUCCGUUGACUUUUAAAAUCGUGAGGGUUCAAGUCCCUCUAUCCCCA